GAUGAAGAACGUAGCGAAGUGCGAUAAGUAAUGUGAAUUGCAGAAUUCCGUGAAUCAUCGAAUCUUUGAACGCAAAUUGCACUCUCUGGCAACCCGGGGAGUAUGCCUGUUUGAGGGUCAGUGUUAAUAAAAAUCGGGUUCGUUGCAAUUUUUGUGACGUUUCCGGAGUUUGAGUUAUCUUAACUUCGGUUUUAAGAGGCUUAAAAUUGACCUUUUUUUGUGCAUUUUAGACGUACAUAAAUUUUUUUUUUAUUCGUCCAUCCUAAUGCCAAAAUCUAUUAGAUGCGACCAUAUCUUGUGGUUCCGUGUCUAUAAAUUUUUCAUGAUUUGACCUCAAAUCAGGUAGGAACACCCGCUGAACUUAAGCAUAUCAAUAAGCGGAGGA
This 385-nucleotide unclassified non-coding RNA is filed under the name soil metagenome. RNAcentral describes it as "partial contains 5.8S ribosomal RNA, internal transcribed spacer 2, and large subunit ribosomal RNA". The stretch from base 1 to 120 matches the Rfam family "5.8S ribosomal RNA", at positions 35 to 154 of the family's 154-position model. The record is from RNAcentral.